RNAcentral lists this ribosomal RNA (489 nucleotides) under uncultured bacterium. RNAcentral's name for it is "bacterial SSU rRNA". It matches the Rfam family "Bacterial small subunit ribosomal RNA", at positions 26 to 518 of the family's 1533-position model. The record is from RNAcentral.
UGGCUCGAGGACGAACGCUGGCGGCGUGCCUAACACAUGCAAGUCGAACGGACUGAUUCCCUUCGGGGAUGAAAGUUAGUGGCGGACGGGUGAGUAACGCGUGAGCAACCUGCCUUUCAGAGGGGAAUAACGUUUGGAAACAGACGCUAAUACCGCAUAACGCAUAGGUGUCGCAUGGCAUUUAUGCCAAAGGAGCAAUCCGCUAGAAAGAUGGGCUCGCGUCCGAUUAGAUAGUUGGUGGGGUAACGGCCUACCAAGUCGACGAUCGGUAGCCGGACUGAGAGGUUGAACGGCCACAUUGGGACUGAGACACGGCCCAGACUCCUACGGGAGGCAGCAGGUGGGGGAUAUUGCGCAAUGGGGGCAACCCUGACGCCAGCAACGCCGCGUGAAGGAUGAAGGUUUUCGGAUUGUAAACUUCUUUUAUCAGGGACGAAGCUUGACGGUACCUGAUGAAUAAGCUCCGGCUAACUACGUGCCAGCAGCCGC